UACGUAGGGUCCAAGCGUUAAUCGGAAUUACUGGGCGUAAAGCGUGCGCAGGCGGUUGUGUAAGACAGGUGUGAAAUCCCCAGGCUUAACCUGGGAACUGCAUUUGUGACUGCACGGCUAGAGUGUGUCAGAGGGAGGUAGAAUUCCACGUGUAGCAGUGAAAUGCGUAGAUAUGUGGAGGAAUACCGAUGGCGAAGGCAGCCUCCUGGGAUAACACUGACGCUCAUGCACGAAAGCGUGGGGAGCAAACAGG
This 253-nucleotide ribosomal RNA is filed under the name uncultured bacterium. RNAcentral's name for it is "partial 16S ribosomal RNA". It matches the Rfam family "Bacterial small subunit ribosomal RNA", at positions 524 to 776 of the family's 1533-position model. The record is from RNAcentral.